Myodes glareolus (Bank vole) is the source of this 257-nucleotide non-coding RNA. Lineage: Eukaryota; Metazoa; Chordata; Mammalia; Rodentia; Cricetidae. The record is from RefSeq and is a predicted model, not a curated record.
GCAACACUAAAUUAGGUAAUGUGUGGAGCUGGCAGAGUGGCUUCACAGCUGCAGUAAUGACCCCAAGAAGAUGGAUAUGAAUUGAGGUAGAAUAUAUACCUUUGGAAGCUGAGGCAGAAUUUAGCAGCAGUUCUCCAACACCAGUAACAGUCAUCAAGCGAUUGGUAUAACGCAUCUUGGGAUAUAUGUGAUCGUUGAAUGUGGCCGAUGACUUCUGAACCUCCUGUGGGUGUUAUUUUAUAUCCAUCAUCUUUGUG